GUUGUAUGGUUAAGUGACUAAGCGUACAUGGUGGAUGCCUUGGCAGUCAGAGGCGAUGAAGGACGUACUAACCUGCGAUAAGCUGUGAGAAGUCGGUAAGAGACGCUAUUACUCACAGAUUUCCGAAUGGGGAAACCCACCCGAGAUAACUCGGGUAUCUGUUACUGAAUACAUAGGUAACAGAGGCGAACCGGGAGAACUGAAACAUCUAAGUACCCCGAGGAAAAGAAAUCAACCGAGAUUCCCUCAGUAGCGGCGAGCGAACGGGGAUUAGCCCUUAAGCAUCUUGGAAGUUAGUGGAACGGUCCUGGAAAGGCCGGCGAUACAGGGUGAUAGCCCCGUACACGAAAACAACCUUGAUGUGAAAUCGAGUAGGGCGGGACACGUGACAUCCUGUCUGAAUAUGGGGGGACCAUCCUCCAAGGCUAAAUACUCCUGACUGACCGAUAGUGAACCAGUACCGUGAGGGAAAGGCGAAAAGAACCCCUGUGAGGGGAGUGAAAUAGAACCUGAAACCGUGUACGUACAAGCAGUGGGAGCCCUUCGGGGUGACUGCGUACCUUUUGUAUAAUGGGUCAGCGACUUACAUUUUGUAGCGAGGUUAACCGUAUAGGGGAGCCGUAGGGAAACCGAGUCUUAACUGGGCGUCUAGUUGCAAGGUGUAGACCCGAAACCGGGUGAUCUAGCCAUGGGCAGGUUGAAGGUUGAGUAACAUCAACUGGAGGACCGAACCCACUAACGUUGCAAAGUUAGGGGAUGACCUGUGGCUGGGGGUGAAAGGCCAAUCAAACUCGGAGAUAGCUGGUUCUCCCCGAAAGCUAUUUAGGUAGCGCCUCGGACGAAUACUACUGGGGGUAGAGCACUGUUUGGGCUAGGGGGUCAUCCCGACUUACCAACCCCAUGCAAACUCCGAAUACCAGUAAGUAAUAUCCGGGAGACACACGGCGGGUGCUAACGUCCGUCGUGAAGAGGGAAACAACCCAGACCGCCGGCUAAGGUCCCAAAGUUCUGGUUAAGUGGGAAACGAUGUGGGAAGGCUCAGACAGCUAGGAUGUUGGCUUAGAAGCAGCCAUCAUUUAAAGAAAGCGUAAUAGCUCACUAGUCGAGUCGGCCUGCGCGGAAGAUGUAACGGGGCUCAAACCAGGCACCGAAGCCGCGGAUUCACACUUAUGUGUGAGUGGUAGGGGAGCGUUCUGUAAGUCUGCGAAGGUGUAUCGAGAGGUAUGCUGGAGAUAUCAGAAGUGCGAAUGCUGACGUAAGUAACGAUAAAGGGGGUGAAAAGCCUCCUCGCCGGAAGACCAAGGGUUCCUGUCCAACGUUAAUCGGGGCAGGGUGAGUCGACCCCUAAGGUGAGGCCGAAAGGCGUAAUCGAUGGGAAGCAGGUUAAUAUUCCUGCACGACUUGUAAUUGCGAUG
This 1415-nucleotide ribosomal RNA is filed under the name Salinicoccus cyprini. Its description in RNAcentral is "Salinicoccus sp. CT19 partial 23S ribosomal RNA". It matches the Rfam family "Bacterial large subunit ribosomal RNA", at positions 1 to 1466 of the family's 2925-position model. The record is from RNAcentral. Lineage: Bacteria; Bacillati; Bacillota; Bacilli; Caryophanales; Staphylococcaceae.